GUCAGUUUGUCCGAGUGGUUAAGGAGUGUGACUCGAAAUCACAUAGGCUUUGCCUGCGUAGGUUCAAAUCCUGCAGCUGACG
Molecule: transfer RNA, 82 nt
Organism: Absidia repens
Lineage: Eukaryota; Fungi; Mucoromycota; Mucoromycetes; Mucorales; Cunninghamellaceae
Rfam family: tRNA
About the family: Transfer RNA (tRNA) molecules are approximately 80 nucleotides in length.
Source: Rfam